RNAcentral lists this ribosomal RNA (442 nucleotides) under uncultured bacterium. Its description in RNAcentral is "partial 16S ribosomal RNA". It matches the Rfam family "Bacterial small subunit ribosomal RNA", at positions 338 to 795 of the family's 1533-position model. The record is from RNAcentral.
CCUACGGGAGUCAGCAGUAGGGAAUCUUUCACAAUGGGCGAAAGCCUGAUGGAGCAACGCCGCGUGCAGGAUGAAGGCCUUCGGGUUGUAAACGGCUUUUAUAAGCGAGAAAGAUGAUGGUAACUUAUGAAUAAGGAACGGCUACCUACGUGCCAGCAGCCGCGGUCAUACGUAGGAUCCGAGCAUUAUCCGGAGUGACUGGGUGUCAAGAGUGGCGUAGGUGGCAUAAUAAGUAGCUAGUGAAAUCUGGUGGCUCAACCAUUCAGACUAUUAGCUAAACUGUUAAGCUCGAGACCGUUAGGGGUAACUGGAAUUUCUAGUGUAGUAGUGAAAUCCGUAGAUAUUAGCAGGAACACCAAUGGCGUAGGCAGGUUGCUGGGACGGUUCUGACACUCAGGCACGAAAGCGUCGGGAGCAAACAGGAUUAGAUACCCCUGUAGUC